Molecule: ribosomal RNA, 466 nt
Filed under: uncultured bacterium
Lineage: Bacteria
Description: partial 16S ribosomal RNA
Rfam family: Bacterial small subunit ribosomal RNA
Source: RNAcentral
GAUGAACGCUGGCGGCGUGCUUAACACAUGCAAGUCGAACGAUGAAGCCCAGCUUGCUGGGUGUAUUAGUGGCGAACGGGAGAGUAACACGUGAGUAACCUGCCCUUAACUCUGGGAUAAGCCUGGGAAACUGGGUCUAAUACCGGAUAGGAGCGUCCACCGCAUGGUGGGUGUUGGAAAGAUUUAUCGGUUUUGGAUGGACUCGCGGCCUAUCAGCUUGUUGGUGAGGUAAUGGCUCACCAAGGCGACGACGGGUAGCCGGCCUGAGAGGGUGACCGGCCACACUGGGACUGAGACACGGCCCAGACUCCUACGGGAGGCAGCAGUGGGGAAUAUUGCACAAUGGGCGCAAGCCUGAUGCAGCGACGCCGCGUGAGGGAUGACGGCCUUCGGGUUGUAAACCUCUUUCAGUAGGGAAGAAGCGAAAGUGACGGUACCUGCAGAAGAAGCACCGGCUAACUACGUG